This 253-nucleotide ribosomal RNA is filed under the name uncultured bacterium. RNAcentral describes it as "partial 16S ribosomal RNA". It matches the Rfam family "Bacterial small subunit ribosomal RNA", at positions 524 to 776 of the family's 1533-position model. The record is from RNAcentral.
UACGGAGGAUGCAAGCGUUAUCCGGAAUUAUUGGGCGUAAAGCGUCCGCAGGGGGCUAGACAAGUCUGCUGUCAAAGACUGGAGCUCAACUCCGGGCAGGCGGUGGAAACUGUCGAGCUAGAGUACGGUAGGGGUAGAGGGAAUUCCCAGUGUAGCGGUGAAAUGCGUAGAGAUUGGGAAGAACACCAGUGGCGAAGGCGCUCUACUGGGCCGUAACUGACGCUCAGGGACGAACGCUAGGGGAGCGAAAGGG